Brassica rapa (field mustard) is the source of this 3013-nucleotide long non-coding RNA. RefSeq lists it as uncharacterized. The record is from RefSeq and is a predicted model, not a curated record. Lineage: Eukaryota; Viridiplantae; Streptophyta; Magnoliopsida; Brassicales; Brassicaceae.
GUAACGCUCAUACGCAGAUUCGGAAUAAGAUCUACUUUGCUCUCUUUUCGAUUUCUUAUUUUUAUCGUUGUUAUUCUCGUGUUCUGAUUGCUUGACGUGUGGUAAUUAACAGAUAUCCGGGUCCUCUGGGAAACUAGGGUUUUCUUAGUUUCCUUAUUUAAACGGAAAUCGACAGUGUGAAUUUCGGUUCCCACAACAUUCUCCAGUUUUGGAAGGAUAAUACUCAUAGGUAUGGUGAUUUAUCAGCAAUGGCUUGUGAUUUGCUUAGUAUUCCUAUCACAACAGUAGCUUUAUAUUCCUCUUUUAGCGUUGGAUCGCAAGUGCUUAACAAAUAUAUGAGCCAUCUACUUCAAAAGAAUGUGCAAGCUUUGAUAUAUAGUAGGAAUUUAGUGUACAAAUAUCGACCUUCCAUUGUAUGAAGCUGGUUGCAUUUAAAUAAGAACUCAGGAAAGCCUUUGCAUUCAAGUGAGUACUCUAUCAUUGCACAAACAUCGCUUUGCAUCACAUUGCAUUCCAUUGUAUCAAGUUUCAUUCAAACAUCUCUCUACAUCACAUUCUUAUGCAAUACAUGUACCGAAGUUAACAACAACUUUGAUCCAUCAUGUUUUGGUGUAUCCCGCAGGUCGAUCCACUUACCGCAUAUAUAGAGGUGGGACAGGAUUGGUCAUCAUCUAUGGGGACCGUGUCCGGCGGCAGUCCAGCCCGCUACCACCCAAAUGAAAACUAGACAGCAGCGGGACGAGACAGAUGGUUGCGGGUAGGCCUAAUUGCCACCUCUAAUCAUAACUAUAUGAAAUACACAUUUUGCUGAAAAGGAGAUUUGUGAAAUCAGUAAUAUUUUAUUAUAAAUUUUAAUAAAUCUUAUUUAUUUCUCCAAUAUGAUUAACACAUAAUAGUUUGACUAUUUCUAAAAAUAACUAGAAAAUAAAAAAACAACGUUAAACACCAAUAUAAUUACCACACAAUAUUUAGAAAAAAAAAACAAGUCAAACAAAAAAAAAACAAAUAUUCUGGAUCGCCAUGCAAGACAUGCUUCGUUAGUUUACAUACUCCUAUCUAUAAAUUAAUCUCCAUUUCAAAUGAAAAUUUCAACCAUCAAACCAGAAAACGUAAAAUUCAAAAAAAUAUAUAAAAAUAAUAAACGUGUUUGCAACAUAAGAAUAUUGCAAAGAAUAAUAUGUCGUCAUCACAGUUCGCUAUCUUUUGCAUAAUAUUGAUCGCGUUUCUUCCUCUUCAUGAAUGUAUGCAUUUAUACUAGCUUUCCUGUUUUUUAUUACUUACCGUUUUUCACCAUUGCAAUCAUAUCAUAAUAUCAUUGAUAAUCUUUUUUCCUUUGAUUGAUAUUGUUGUCACUUUUUGUGUAUAUAGUUGUCGACGGCCAAGUUCUUGGUGUGGGUAAAGAAAGUUGUAAGCAAAUGAAAUGCGGCGAAGGGAAUAAACUUACUUGUCCUUGUUGUGUCUCCAAUGAUGGGCUUCAGUACAGGUGUUACGAGAAAAUGGAAUAUUGUGAGGGGAGGUGCGGGAGAAUUUUAUAAGCUAUCUCGAGAACCUAUAUCAAAGAUUAUAAAUACCUGAAUAAAUAAUUUAUUUAAUAACUUAUAUCUAUUUUUCCAUUACAUAAAUAACACGUGCUCAUUUGUAGUCCAACAAAUACAGUUUAUGCCUAUUAUAUUUUUUUUUAUUAAAAAAAUAGUUAAACACAGAUCUAUUAAAAACAUAGAUCUAAACUUACGGGUGGAGGUACAGUCCACGGAUAGACUCUCUCAUGGACAUUCAAAUGAGCCGAAAGCAAUAAUCUAUAUCCGUGUGGCCAAUGGAGUUCGAACCGGAAUUCGAUGUAUUGAAUUUAUUUUCUCAAACGCCACUGAAUUACCACCACUAGUUAAAGUAUAUAAACUUCAUAGUUUCUUAUGAGAAAUAAUAUUUUCUGUUUUCUUUUACACUGGAUCACUACCACGUAAGAGUAAGGAAAAAACUUGUCCGAAAAGUAAAUUUUGAGAUUUUUGGGACUUGCAUAGUGUCUACGUGUUUUUACAAACAUGAAAGUCCAAACAUGUAGUUUAGUUUUUUGUCUGCUUAUAUAAUAGCUAGAUUAGUACAAAGUCUAUGUUUUUAUACCAGACUUUACAUGUGCAUUUGGUAGACUUGCGUAGUGGCUGUAUAGUGUCUACAUGAUUUUACAGGAAUAAUAUCUGAAACCUGUAGAGUAGUUUGUUGUCUGCUUAUAAUCGGUGGAUAAGCAUAAGAUCUACACAUGUAUAGCAGACUUAACGUGUGAAUUUGGUAAACUUAUAUAAUGGCUACAUGUUUCAACAGAAUUUAACAUCAUAAGCAUUAGAUUAGUUUGUUGUCUGCUGAUUAUCGACAUGCUAGAGUAUUGUCUUCUUUAUUGGUAUGUUGUCGGCUGAUCACCGGUUGAUUAACAUUAAGUCCACACGUGUAUAACAGACUGUACAUGUUAAUUUUGUAGAGUUCUUUUAAAUCAAUAAAAUAUUUGUACACUAGCAUAAAGUCUGCAUUAACAAAAUAUCCAACCUUAACUAAAGACUCUCGCAAGUUAAUAGAACAACACUAACAAAAUAAAAAAAAAGUUAAGAAAAUAUACACGUUUUUGUAAAGGAAUGAAAAUAACAUGAGUUCAUGAAAAGCAAAGAUAUAAUGGAUUAGAAUUAGAAGAGUCAAAUUCAAAAACUUAAUUCACUGUGGUAGUUUGAAGAUGGAUGUACAUCGAAGCCCUAGUUUAAUUUGUCUCGAUCUAAAACUCAGUUUUGGCUGCAAACUGAUGUUUCUAUAUCGACAAGGAAAAAAAACUGAAGUGGAGUUGAUAUUUCAAAUUUAUUUAUUUUAGCAAAAUCACUAAUAAAAAUUUUAAUUUUUAUAAAGUAAAUUCGGAAAAUAAAUUAUUGCUCAAAGUUUAAUUUGAAAGAUUUAAUUUAGUUUACUAAUUUAAAAAUUUGAAGGAUUUAAUUUUCAAGUAAAUUAGGAAAGUAAAACUGUAUUUAAAUCAAGUUCU